RNAcentral lists this ribosomal RNA (801 nucleotides) under uncultured bacterium. RNAcentral's name for it is "bacterial SSU rRNA". It matches the Rfam family "Bacterial small subunit ribosomal RNA", at positions 67 to 867 of the family's 1533-position model. The record is from RNAcentral.
CGAGAAAGUCCGCAAGGAUGAGUACAGUGGCGUCCGGGUGAGUAACACGUGGGAAUCUGCCCUUUGGUGAAGAAUACCCUCGAGAAAUCGAGGCUAAUACUGCAUAAGUCGGUAACGAGAAAGGUGGCCUCUUUGCUACCGCCGAAGGAUGAGCCUGCGGCCUAUUAGUUAGUUGGUGGGGUAAUGGCCUACCAAGACAAAGAUGGGUAACCGGCCUGAGAGGGUGUACGGUCACAAUGGAACUGAAACACGGUCCAUACUCCUACGGGAGGCAGCAGUGGGGAAUAUUGCACAAUGGGCGAAAGCCUGAUGCAGCGACGCCGCGUGGAGGAUGAAGGUCUUCGGAUUGUAAACUCCUGUUAAGUGGGAAAAAAUCACGGCAGAUAAUACCUGAUCGUGGAUGAUGGUACCACUAGAGAAAGUACCGGCAAACUUCGUGCCAGCAGCCGCGGUAAUACGAAGGGUACGAGCGUUAUUCGGAGUUACUGGGCGUAAAGAGCGUGUAGGCGGCUUGUUAAGUUAGUUGUUAAAUUCCCCGGCCUAACUGGGGACAUGCGACUGAAACUGGCGAGCUAGAGUACAGGAGAGAGAAGUAGAAUUCCCGGAGUAGCGGUAAAAUGCGUAGAUCUCGGGAGGAAUACCGAUGGCGAAGGCAGCUUCUUGGCUUGUAACUGACGUUAAAGCGCGAAAGCGUGGGGAGCAAACAGGAUUAGAUACCCUGGUAGUCCACGCUGUAAACGAUGAUCACUAGACGUGGGUUUGACGUUGUCAGAUCUGUGUCGAAGCUAACGCGUUAAGUGA